CAUCCCAGCAGCCAAACUCAGCCCACUGCUCUCUCUGUGAAUGGGGCAAGUCCUAGCCUAGAGGCUAUACAUGAAGUGUAUUGAGAGAGUGGAGGUGAUGGAUUUCUGCGUGGAGCUCCUGGCUGCUCACAAAGGCCUGGACAGGUGUAUUCGGUGAAAGCCCCGGAGUGUGAACGUGGUGAGACCAGCGCUGCCGGGAGGUGGGGGACGCUCUGCACUACUCCUGGUUGAUGGAUUUCAAAGUUUCCCUGAAACCUGAAAGUCUUUGGUGAGAAAGGUAAAGUGUGGGGAGCCAAGGAUGACAUUACGAAUAAAACGAGCCUGAAAUGGAAACCUAUUCUGUGCAAGUAAUAAUCCCAUCACAAGAUGGUAUUACAAGGUAUUUAAUGCCCAGCUGGAUGUAGUGCGGCCCUCAGGCAGAUCUUAAAGACUUUAACCUAGUAGAAGAAUUAACUGUGGGAUUAUCUACCUCCCUCUCCGGGAGAUGACACCGUUACAGUACAUUUUGGAAUUUUCUUAUUAAGUGUGCUGGAUUUUUUUUCCCUUCAAUCUUUUAAAUUCAAGAGAAUAAGAGAAUAUUUCUCUCCGCACCUAUAUAAGACUAGCACAUUCUUCAAACUAAUUUAGGAAUCGUCUAAUAAAUAAAUGACUCUU
Pseudophryne corroboree (corroboree frog) is the source of this 654-nucleotide long non-coding RNA. RefSeq lists it as uncharacterized. Lineage: Eukaryota; Metazoa; Chordata; Amphibia; Anura; Myobatrachidae. The transcript has 3 exons. The record is from RefSeq and is a predicted model, not a curated record.